This 343-nucleotide unclassified non-coding RNA is filed under the name soil metagenome. RNAcentral describes it as "partial contains 5.8S ribosomal RNA, internal transcribed spacer 2, and large subunit ribosomal RNA". The stretch from base 1 to 120 matches the Rfam family "5.8S ribosomal RNA", at positions 35 to 154 of the family's 154-position model. The record is from RNAcentral.
GAUGAAGAACGUAGCGAAAUGCGAUAAGUAAUGUGAAUUGCAGAAUCCAGUGAAUCAUCGAAUCUUUGAACGCACAUUGCGCCCGCCAGCAUUCUGGCGGGCAUGCCUGUUCGAGCGUCAUUUCAACCCUCGACCUCCCUUUGGGGAAGUCGGCGUUGGGGACCGGCAGCACACCGCCGGCCCUGAAAUGGAGUGGCGGCCCGUCCGCGGCGACCUCUGCGUAGUAAUCCAACUCGCACCGGAACCCCGACGCGGCCACGCCGUAAAACACCCAACUUCUGAACGUUGACCUCGAAUCAGGUAGGACUACCCGCUGAACUUAAGCAUAUCAAUAAGCGGAGGA